Molecule: ribosomal RNA, 483 nt
Filed under: uncultured bacterium
Lineage: Bacteria
Description: partial 16S ribosomal RNA
Rfam family: Bacterial small subunit ribosomal RNA
Source: RNAcentral
AUUGAACGCUGGCGGCAUGCUUUACACAUGCAAGUCGAACGGUAACAGGCCGCAAGGUGCUGACGAGUGGCGAACGGGUGAGUAAUGCAUCGGAACGUGCCCAGUCGUGGGGGAUAACUACUCGAAAGAGUAGCUAAUACCACAUACGAUCUAUGGAUGAAAGCGGGGGACCGUAAGGCCUCGCGCGAUUGGAGCGGCCGAUGUCGGAUUAGGUAGUUGGUGGGGUAAAGGCUCACCAAGCCAACGAUCUGUAGCUGGUCUGAGAGGACAACCAGCCACACUGGGACUGAGACACGGCCCAGACUCCUACGGGAGGCAGCAGUGGGGAAUUUUGGACAAUGGGCGCAAGCCUGAUCCAGCAAUGCCGCGUGCAGGAAGAAGGCCUUCGGGUUGUAAACUGCUUUUGUACGGAACGAAACGGCUCUGGUUAAUACCCGGGGCUAAUGACGGUACCGUAAGAAUAAGCACCGGCUAACUACGUGC